UUGAGAUAAGCAUCCUUGCUGAUGCAACGCAUCAACAAGGAUGUUUAACUCAUCAGGAUUCCUCCAGCGGAUCAAUUUUGAAAAAUAAUGACAAAUUCUAACAAACAUCCAAAAUUUUGAUUAAUUUGUAUUUUUUUUUUCAGCCGGCUGCUUCCAAUAAUUCCGGAUUGGGACGUGUACGGAAAUUGAAUAGAGCCGCCUGCUUCCAAUAAUUCCGGAGGUGUUCGGGAAUAGAGUGGCAACCACUUACGCUAGGGAGGCAAUUGAACACCUAGACCUGGACUCAUCAACUCAAGGGCCAGGAUCCACGGCUGUGCUUCUUUUCGAAGGAAGGCAUGACACCACCAAAGCAACCAAGGAAGUCAUCAAUCCCCACCAACUGACGAGUUUCGUUUGUGGUUCGACACAUGGACGGAGCAUUUGUGUUUUGCUAAAUUUUGCAAAUUAUUGGGGAAUUUCCCUAAAGUUUCACGCGGCCACCAGUUUUCACUCUUCCACAGGCCUUAAGGGUAACCCACAUUAGAUCUGCUUGCGUUGCGUUGUCGUAAAUUUUAUAGUUAGACAAUAUAUUUAGCUGUCACUUUGCUGCAUCGCGCCAGAUCCGGAUCUAAUGUGGGUGGCCCUGUAGAUUUGGAAACUUGAUUAUGUAAAUACUAGGCAUCUUUGUCUGGUAGUUCGUUCAAAAAUGAUACAACAAUCGUCAAGCUCGCUGUAACGUCACCUAGUGCCUCGUCACCUACAAAUUGGCGCCUAUGUCAGUGGUCUAAUAACUCUUAGCGCGCUAAUGGCAUAGUUCCCCUGCCGCAUAGAGAGUUACCACAAUGACAUUAGGUUAGCUAAGGUCAGUUAACUGACUGGUGGGAAACGGGAGCUUACGCAAUGGCUAUUCUGUAUGCAUUUAAGAGAUAGUCUACCAGAAUGGAUGAUUUUUUUUGUACAAUUUUAUGUUUUCUGAUUGUGCAAAACAUGAGAAUUAACUUUUCCAAUGCUUUCAAUUGUACAAAGCAUUAGUGCUAGAAACAUGAUCUUGUAAACACUACACACCUUAACUGUUAGUUUGAUUAAAAAAUGCUGCAACAAUCGUCAAGCUCGCUGUAAUGUCACCAAGUGCCUCGUCACCUACAAAUUGGCGCCUAUGUCAGUGGUCUAAUAACUCUUAGCGCGCUAAUGGCAUAG
Ochlerotatus camptorhynchus is the source of this 1176-nucleotide long non-coding RNA. RefSeq lists it as uncharacterized. The record is from RefSeq and is a predicted model, not a curated record. Lineage: Eukaryota; Metazoa; Arthropoda; Insecta; Diptera; Culicidae. The transcript is spliced from 3 exons.